AAUCAACGCUGGCGGCGUGCCUAACACAUGCAAGUCGAGCGGGAAAAGGGGCUUCGGUCCCUGAGUAUAGCGGCGGACGGGUGAGUAACACGUGGGUAAUUUGCCCUUGGGUGUGGAAUAACUCAGGGAAACUUGAGCUAAUACCGCAUGACAUCCUCGUCGCACACGAGUCGAGGAUCAAAGCCGGGGACCCUUCGGGGCCUGGCGCCUGAGGAGAAGCCCGCGCCCGAUUAGCUAGUUGGUGAGGUAAUGGCUCACCAAGGCUUCGAUCGGUAGCCGGCCUGAGAGGGCGGACGGCCACAUUGGGACUGAGACACGGCCCAGACUCCUACGGGAGGCAGCAGUGGGGAAUUUUUGUCAAUGGGGAAACCUGAACAAGCAACGCCGCGUGGAGGACGACGACCU
This 405-nucleotide ribosomal RNA is filed under the name uncultured bacterium. Its description in RNAcentral is "bacterial SSU rRNA". It matches the Rfam family "Bacterial small subunit ribosomal RNA", at positions 32 to 417 of the family's 1533-position model. The record is from RNAcentral.